Molecule: ribosomal RNA, 870 nt
Filed under: uncultured Methanosaeta sp.
Lineage: Archaea; Methanobacteriati; Methanobacteriota; Methanomicrobia; Methanotrichales; Methanotrichaceae
Description: bacterial SSU rRNA
Rfam family: Archaeal small subunit ribosomal RNA
Source: RNAcentral
UCUGGUUGAUCCUGCCAGAGGUUACUGCUAUCGAGGUUCGACUAAGCCAUGCGAGUCGAAUGUAGCAAUACAUGGCGUACUGCUCAGUAACACGUGGAUAACCUACCCUUGAGUCGGGGAUAAACCCGGGAAACUGGGUAUAAUACCCGAUAGAUCUCGACUGCUGGAAUGCAUCGAGCUCUAAAGCUCCGGCGCUCAAGGAUGGAUCUGCGGCCUAUCAGGUAGUAGUGGGUGUAGCGUACCUACUAGCCUACGACGGGUACGGGUUGUGAGAGCAAGAGCCCGGAGAUGGAUUCUGAGACACGAAUCCAGGCCCUACGGGGUGCAGCAGGCGCGAAAACUUUACAAUGCCGGCAACGGCGAUAAGGGGACCUCGAGUGCCAGGUUACAAAUCUGGCUGUCGUGAUGCCUAAAAAGCAUUGCAUAGCAAGGGCCGGGCAAGACCGGUGCCAGCCGCCGCGGUAACACCGGCGGCUCGAGUGGUAACCGUUAUUAUUGGGUCUAAAGGGUCUGUAGCCGGCCGGAUAAGUCUCUUGGGAAAUCUGGCAGCUUAACUGUCAGGCUUUCAGGAGAUACUGUCUGGCUCGAGGCCGGGAGAGGUGAGAGGUACUUCAGGGGUAGGGGUGAAAUCUUGUAAUCCUUGAAGGACCACCAGUGGCGAAGGCGUCUCACCAGAACGGACCUGACGGCAAGGGACGAAAGCUAGGGGCACGAACCGGAUUAGAUACCCGGGUAGUCCUAGCCGUAAACGAUACUCGCUAGGUGUCGGCCACGGUGCGACCGUGGUCGGUGCCGUAGGGAAGCCGUGAAGCGAGCCACCUGGGAAGUACGGCCGCAAGGCUGAAACUUAAAGGAAUUGGCGGGGGAGCA